UGGGGAAUUUUUGACAAUGGGGGAAACCCUGAUCCAGCCAUCCCGCGUGUGCGAUGAAGGCCUUCGGGUUGUAAAGCACUUUUGGCAGGAAAGAAACGUCAUGGGUUAAUACCCCGUGAAACUGACGGUACCUGCAGAAUAAGCACCGGCUAACUACGUGCCAGCAGCCGCGGUAAUACGUAGGGUGCAAGCGUUAAUCGGAAUUACUGGGCGUAAAGCGUGCGCAGGCGGUUCGGAAAGAAAGAUGUGAAAUCCCAGAGCUCAACUUUGGAACUGCAUUUUUAACUACCGGGCUAGAGUGUGUCAGAGGGAGGUGGAAUUCCGCGUGUAGCAGUGAAAUGCGUAGAUAUGCGGAGGAACACCGAUGGCGAAGGCAGCCUCCUGGGAUAACACUGACGCUCAUGCACGAAAGCGUGGGGAGCAAACAGG
This 429-nucleotide ribosomal RNA is filed under the name Acidobacteriota bacterium. Its description in RNAcentral is "Acidobacteria bacterium partial 16S ribosomal RNA". It matches the Rfam family "Bacterial small subunit ribosomal RNA", at positions 355 to 776 of the family's 1533-position model. The record is from RNAcentral. Lineage: Bacteria; Pseudomonadati; Acidobacteriota.